Molecule: long non-coding RNA, 1681 nt
Organism: Oncorhynchus tshawytscha (Chinook salmon)
Lineage: Eukaryota; Metazoa; Chordata; Actinopteri; Salmoniformes; Salmonidae
Source: Ensembl
ACACACACACACACACACACACACACACAGGACAGGCAGACACACACAUACACACACACAGGACAGGCAGACACACACACACACACAGGACAGGACAGGCAGACACACACACACAGGACAGGCAGACACACACAGGACAGGCAGACACACACACACAGGACAGGCAGACACACACACACAGGACAGGCAGACACACACACAGGACAGGCAGACACACACACACAGGACAGGCAGACACACACACACACACACAGGACAGGCAGACACACACACACACAGGACAGGCAGACAGGCAUGCCUAACUAGGUGAGAGAAGACCAGGGCAGAUUUUAAGAAGAGGUGACUGGAGGACAGAGACAGAAGGUGUCAUUGUCUCAUCACCACCUCAGGUAACACAAUAAGCCUUUUCUAGCCGUGUGUGUGUCUUAGUGUUAGCGUGUGUGUGUGUGUAUCUUAGUGUUAGCGUGUGUGUGUGUGUGUCAGUGUGUGUGUGUCUUAGUGUCAGCGUGUGUGUGUGUGUCUUAGUGUCAGCGUGUGUGUGUGUAUCUUAGUGUCAGUGUGUGUGAACUGGUGGGUGGAAAGGUGAGGGACUGAGGCAGUAAUCCUGUCACAGGAGACGUAACACCCAGUACACACACACACACACAUACACAUAACACCCUGUACACACACACACACACACACACACACACACACACACACACACACACACACACACACACACCACCCCAUUAGCUGACCAGCUCACAUAACCCUCACAUCUCUCAGUGCAGACCACCUGCGGUGUCAGAGGAAGGCCCUAAGAAUUGUCAGACUCCAGCAACCCUAGUCAUAGACUGUUUUCUCUGCUACCACACGGCAAGCGGUACACUGGAGUACCCAGUCUAGGUCCAAGAGGAGUACCCAGUCUAGGUCCAAGAGGAGUACCAAGUCUAGGUCCAAGAGGAGUACCCAGUCUAGGUCCAAGAGGAGUACCCAGUCUAGGUCCAAGAGGAGUACCAAGUCUAGGUCCAAGAGGAGUACCCAGUCUAGGUCCAAGAGGAGUACCCAGUCUAGGUCCAAGAGGAGUACCAAGUCUAGGUCCAAGAGGAGUACCAAGUCUAGGUCCAAGAGGAGUACCAAGUCUAGGUCCAAGAGGAGUACCCAGUCUAGGUCCAAGAGGAGUACCCAGUCUAGGUCCAAGAGGCGUACCCAGUCUAGGUCCAAGAGGAGUACCCAGUCUAGGUCCAAGAGGAGUACCCAGUCUAGGUCCAAGAGGAGUACCCAGUCUAGGUCCAAGAGGAGUACCCAGUCUAGGUCCAAGAGGAGUACCAAGUAUAGGUCCAAGAGGAGUACCCAGUCUAGGUCCAAGAGGAGUACCAAGUCUAGGUCCAAGAGGAGUACCAAGUCUAGGUCCAAGAGGAGUACCCAGUCUAGGUCCAAGAGGAGUACCCAGUCUAGGUCCAAGAGGAGUACCCAGUCUAGGUCCAAGAGGAGUACCCAGUCUAGGUCCAAGAGGCUUCUAAACAGCUUCUACCCCCAAGCCAGGAGACUCCUGAACAGCUGAUCAAAGGGCUACCCAGACCCCUCUAUUACACUGCUGCUACUCUGUUUAUUAUCUAUGCAUAGUCACUUUACCUCUAACUACAUGUACAUAUUACCUUUAAUUACCUCGACUAACCGGUGCCCCCGCACAUUGACU